This 253-nucleotide ribosomal RNA is filed under the name uncultured bacterium. Its description in RNAcentral is "partial 16S ribosomal RNA". It matches the Rfam family "Bacterial small subunit ribosomal RNA", at positions 524 to 776 of the family's 1533-position model. The record is from RNAcentral.
UACGAAGGGGGCGAGCGUUGUUCGGAAUUACUGGGCGUAAAGGGCGCGUAGGCGGCCGAUCAAGUCAGAUGUGAAAGUCCUGGGCUUAACCUGGGGACUGCAUUUGAUACUGAUUGGCUUGAAUUCGGGAGAGGAUAGCGGAAUUCCCAGUGUAGAGGUGAAAUUCGUAGAUAUUGGGAAGAACACCGGUGGCGAAGGCGGCUAUCUGGACCGACAUUGACGCUGAGGCGCGAAAGCGUGGGGAGCAAACGGG